This 66-nucleotide transfer RNA is filed under the name Laemobothrion tinnunculi. RNAcentral's name for it is "tRNA-Ile". Lineage: Eukaryota; Metazoa; Arthropoda; Insecta; Psocodea; Laemobothriidae. The record is from RNAcentral.
UUUAGGGUGCCUGAGAUUAAGGAACAUCUUGAUGAGAUGGAUACGGUAAAAAUUUACCCUCUAAAA